Molecule: long non-coding RNA, 1921 nt
Filed under: Vigna radiata
Lineage: Eukaryota; Viridiplantae; Streptophyta; Magnoliopsida; Fabales; Fabaceae
Description: long non-coding RNA (VRAD_LNC009219)
Source: RNAcentral
AAGGGAAAUACAACUUGCUUAUGUUUUGCAAAUUCGCAAAUAUCAUAUUGAAACAUUUGUAUGUUAACUUGUGGAAAUAAACUAGGAAAUAUAAUUUUUGGGGUACUGAAUGAUGGGUGACCUAAACGGAGCUAGUGAAAUCAAGUUUUUUCUUUAUUAGAGAGAGUGAUUUCUCACAACAAAUACAAAGGAAGUUGACUCUUAGUGUUGUGCAUACUCUAGAAGGUAGAAUCCAUUCUCUUCCUUAACAGGUCUGAUCAUAUUACCCAUUUCCUAAUCCUGAAAUUGUAAGGUUGUAGGAUUAAAAAACACCAAACAAUGUAAAUCCAUUGUAAGCUUGUUACAAAAGUCAAAUUGGCAAAUAAUUUGGGCACAUGUAAGAUAUCCUUCCAAAUUAGAUUCUAGUUUAUCAUAUUAUCUUCUUUUCUAGCAAAUAUAACGAAAUUUCCAUUUGCAAGUGCAAUUUUUUUAUUGCUCGAACAAGGUCUAUAAGAUAUAAACCCAGUAGAUGAUUGAGUCAUGUGGUGUGUGGUGUGAAACCCGGGCACUUAGAAGGCGGGGAGUGAUCGCCGGUGCAAGAGGCACGGACAAGGAGCGGCUCCUGGCAGGCUUCUAGUGAAAGGAGUACAUGGACGAAUUGAACAUACACCGGAAUGAGAAGGAUUUGAAGACUGUAUAGGCAUGGGAUUAUACAGUUGAAGGAUAGCUUAAAGGAAUUGAUUUGGCUACUCAUAUCACCAAAAUGCAUUUGCUUUUCAGUAGCCUAACCCAUAAGAACUUCUGGGAAGUUUUCCCUAAAAGUGUGUGAGUGAGGACAAAGCACACUGGAAAGCCUCGUGUUGAUGUGUGGGGGCAGUCAACAGUCCCUGUAAGUUGUCGGGGCGUUAUAGAUGGUAUCAGAGCCUAGCCUCUCCUAGUACGGUGUGGUUCGAGGACGAACCAAGCAGAAGCUGGUGGGCAUGUGACACCCGGGCACUUAGAGGGCGGGGAGGGAUCGCCGGUGCAAGAGGCACGGACAAAGAGCAGCUCCUGGCAGGCUUCUAGUGGAAGGUGUAUAUGGACAAAUCGAACAUACACCGGAAUGAGAGGAGAGAUUGUAUAUGUAUGGGACUAUACAGUUGAAGGAUAGCUUAAAGGAAUUGAUUUGGCUACUCAUAUCACCAAAAUGCAUUUGUUUUUCGGUAGCCUAACCCAUAAGAACUCCAUGGUUAAGCAUGCUUAGCCUGGAGUAAUUUGGGAUUUGGGAUGGGUGACCUUCCGGGAAGUUUUCCCGAAAAGUGUACGAGUGAGGACAAAGCACACUGGAAAGCCUCGUGUUGAUGUGUUGGGACAGUCAGCAGUCCCUGUAAGUUGUGGCGGCGGUACAUGUGGCUCCAAAAUCAACUAGCUUGACACCUUAUUUAUAGGAAUUUAAUGCGUUGCAAGGGAGUAAGGAAUAUUACCUGCAAAUGCUAAGGAGCAAUUGCCUAAGUUUGAAAGUUUUUUUAACAUGUCCAACAACACCUUUAAUUUCAUAAUCUCCUUCGUGUUAGACUGUGGUAGGUUAUGAAUAAUUGCCUUCAAGUGAGCCUAUUUAUGACAUAUGAACUUUAGUAUGUCCUCCACCUUGAUUUCCUUUAGGUGUCCAAUUUUGAGUUGGAUGUGGAGGCUUCCCAUGAAGUUUCCCGCAUUUGUUUUGAGUGUGUUGCGACUUCUUACAAUAAGUACACCAAAGGGAGACUUUAUUAUCCCCUUCAGCUAUAUUUAUUCCUCCUACUUCAUUUCCAAAUGGAGUGAUAUGCCCUUGUCCAACUUUCUUCCCCUUGUACAAGCAAGGUUGAACAGUCAAUUGAUUGGGGUUCUAACAUUACUCCUCUACAGACUCCUUUUGCCUGAAACACAGCCAUUGUCUCAUUGAGUGAGGAUAAGUCCUUCCCUAAAU